GAACUGAGGAUACAGUGAAACAACUGACUGAAGAGAGAACAAAGCUCAACAUAAUCUUGAAUGGCAUCAGUGCCACCAACAAGAAUCUGACAAAAGAAAAAGAAGGGCUGGAAAAGAAGCUGAAAGACGUUGAAUUGCAGCAUUCCUCCCUGACAGAAGAAAACAACGAGUUAAAGAUGAGCAAUUUUAGUGAGUAAAA
Long non-coding RNA from Oryzias melastigma (Indian medaka), 199 nucleotides. RefSeq lists it as uncharacterized. The record is from RefSeq and is a predicted model, not a curated record. NCBI's taxonomy places the organism in Eukaryota, Metazoa, Chordata, Actinopteri, Beloniformes, Adrianichthyidae. The transcript has 3 exons.